AUUCAAAUAGCUUAUAAUUGAGAGCAUAAUAUUGAAGAUAUUAAGGAAAUAAAAAUAUUUUUGAAUA
Molecule: transfer RNA, 67 nt
Filed under: Euproctis seitzi
Lineage: Eukaryota; Metazoa; Arthropoda; Insecta; Lepidoptera; Erebidae
Description: tRNA-Phe
Source: RNAcentral